This is a long non-coding RNA of Callithrix jacchus (white-tufted-ear marmoset), 11635 nucleotides long. RefSeq lists it as uncharacterized. Lineage: Eukaryota; Metazoa; Chordata; Mammalia; Primates; Cebidae. The record is from RefSeq and is a predicted model, not a curated record.
UGGGAUUACAGGUGUGAGCCACUGCGCCCGGCCUCUGGUUUUCGAUUCCUAACCAUUGAAACUGCUAUAAACAGUCAUUCCUGUGCAAACAUUGCAUGAACAUGGUAUUUCCUGUCUCUUAGGUGCUGAUUGGGUAGCAGUGGUCUGGCCAAGUCAUUCUACGGUUGUGCCUUUUUACGUUCCUUGGUGUAUGAGUCUUCCAGUUGCUCUAUAUCCUUGCCAUCAUGGUCGGUCUUUCUCAUUUUAGCCAUUUAAAUGGGAUGACCACUAAGAAGAAAGCCUGGGCUGUGGAGUUAUGAGGAAGCCGGCGCCUCUGUCUCCCAGGAACCAGAAGGCUUUUAGCUGCGAUGAGCUCAGAAGCACUUCCAGCGAGCCAGCCCUUUUUGAUUCCCAGCGCAACGGUCGCGGGAAUCCGGGCGCCAUCCAGGCCUCUGUUCCCGGAAAAGACCAUGCAGCCGCCGGUGACAUCACGGAGGGGAAAGGGCCUGGCUACCCGUGGCAGCCAUGAUAAAACGCAGGGAAAACGGAGCUCCAAGUAGCUGGUGUUAUUAACGGACAUGCAAACGCUCCUAACCGCUGCACGUUCCUGAGGGAUAUCAGUUGUUAUAAAAGUGCUUCUGGCCGGGCGCGGUGGCUCACACCUGUAAUCCCAGCACUCUGGGAGGCCGAGGCGGGUGGAUCACGAGGUCAACAGAUCGAGACCAUCCUAGUCAACAUAGUGAAACCCCGUCUCUACUAAAAACAUUAAAAAAAUUAGCUGGGCAUGGUGGCGCGUGCCUGUAAUCCCAGCUACUCGGGAGGCUGAGGCAGGAGAAUUGCCUGAACCCAGGAGGCGGAGGUUGCGGUGAGCCGAGAUCGCGCCAUUGCACUCCAGCCUGGGUAACAAGAGCGAAACUCCGUCUCAAAAAAAAAAUAAAUAAAAUAAAAGAAAAGUGCUUCUGAGCUACGCUCCGGGAGACUCUGUGGGAGUGCCCGCGGGCGUGGGCGCGGUGGAAGAGAGGGAGAAAGCGUAGCCCAGGCCUCCGUAACCAUGGCUGCGAGGGGCGGGGUGCGGGCGGGAAGGACUCGGUCCUCCACGGUCCCAGCAGGCCCCGCGCCUGCGUGUCCCUCCCUUCCCGCUGGCGCACGCUGCGUGGCUGCUCGUUGGUACUUAGGAGGGAAAGUCGGUUGGUGUUUCUACAGGACUUUCCCCCUUGGGCGGUGGCGGAGCUGAUAAACGCGGUCGUAGCAGCUCUGGUGGCAACAGCGGUGACUACAAGGGCUGGCGACGGCUGCAGCAGGACCUGCAACAUCCCAGAGGUUUUUCCAGAACUUCUCGGAUGCGCUAGUCUACGAGGACCCCCCGAGGCGGCGUUAGAGAUGAGAGAGCCUGUUUCUGCUUCCUCCACUCCCGGCUGAGCCGCCUCCUUCCGGCACCGCCUGAUUGGGACCCAGGCCCCUGUUGAUGCUGCGUCUCAGCCCCAGUAUUGAGAUUCUCGGUCUCCGUUCUCUGUCCCACGGUAGCCGCGUUACCCCAGGCUCCUUCCUGUCUUGCCCUUUCCACUUCCAGACUCUUGCAUUCCUACAGCUCCUGAGAAAAACCUUCUCUAUUUCUUGGGAGUAUGGUUGGCACCUGUAGUUGGGCUGAAAGGAUUUUUUUUUUUUUAUUGCAUUUUAGGUUUUGGGGUACAUGUGCAGAACUUGCAAGAUAGUUGCAUAGGUACACACGUGGCAGUGUGUUUUGCUGCCUUCCUCCCCUUCACCCACAUUUGGCAUUUCUCCCCAGCCUGUCCCUCCCCUAUUCCCCCCAAUAGAUGACUAGCGGAGAAAAGGGACUCUGGGCUCUGUGAAAUUAAUUUUUUCGUUUGACAAUCAUUCUUGCCAUUCUUAUGUAAUAUGUCGGCCUGAAGUCAGUGUACUGGAACAAAAAUCUUUUCCCUCAUGUCCCUGAAACUUUCCAGAUGUCUUGUCACAGUUCAUUAUUCACUCAUUUGUUGAUUCAUCAAAAUUUUUUUUUUAGGAGUUGCUGUGCGCAAAGGCGCUGAUUGCUAUGGCUUAGUCUUAGUUACAUACUUAGCUAUCUCAGAAAUCGUUUCUUGUAGGUGUGCAGUGAAGACAAACUGAAGCUGUAAAGGAACGUAAAAGAGCAAGAGUUAAGUAGUAAGAGUUAAAGAAGAGCCUAAAGAUAAAUGAUGCUGUGGGUCACGGAAUUUAACCAGGGUUUUUGUUGUUGUUUUUUGCUUUAUUUAAAGCACAGAAACAAGGACACCCUGUUUUGUUGUUAUAAUCUAACCUAAGUAAGGUUAACAAUUUGAGGCAAGACAGCAUCUUUUCUAGUUAUGACUUUUAUAAGGAAUGUACCACAUGGUACUAGAUCCCCCGUUGAGGUGAUCUUUGAACGGAGACCUGAAGAAACAAGAGAAUUAGCUUGGAAGCUCUAGGGAAAGACCAUUCCAGGCAGGACCGAGAGCCAGUACAGAGAUGAAGUUGGCCUGUAUAUGGAGCAGCAAAAGGCUCUUUUUAUUCGAGGGGCCGUUUGAUUAGGAGAUAAGCUUGCACAGGAGACUGGGAGCCAGGUCCUGUAAGGUCUUUUAGGGUCCAGGUAUGCUUUUUUAAUCUAAAUAUAUAGACCUUUAGAUACCAGCAAUAAGAUUUCCUGGGAUCAGUUUUGAGAUAAUGUUACAAGAAGCAGUGAGAAUUUUUCUUUAUAAUUCCUUAUAGUAGAUAUCGAUUACUUUGAAUUUACUUUCUUAAUUGCCAUGUUAGGCCUAGUGCUUCCUUUGGAAAUCCAGUUUAUAUAAAAGUUGCUUUUAGGCUGGGCAUGGUGGCUCAUGUCUGUAAUCCCAGCACUUUGGGAGGCCGAGGAGGGUGGAUCCCUUGAGGUUAGGAGUUUGAGACCAGCCUGGCCAACAUGGUGAAACCCUGUCUCUACUAAAAAUACAAAAAAAGAAAGCCAGCAACUUAAAAAAGUUGGUUUUAAAAAAUAUUAAUAUAAUGAACUUCAUUGUCACUUUCCAUCUUCUUAAUUUUUUUUUUUUUUUUUUGAGAUGGAAUCUCACUCUGUUGCCCAGGCUGGAGUGCAAUGGCACGAUCUUGGCUCACAGCAACCUCCACCUACCAGGUUCAAGCGAUUCUCCUCUCUCAACCUCCCAAGUAGCUGGGAUUACAGGCACACACCACCACACCCAGCUAGUUGUUGUACUUUUUAGUAGAGACAGGGUUUCACCAUGUUGGUCAGGCUAGUCUCAAACUCCUGAUCUCAGGUGAUCUGCUGCCUCAGCCUGCCAGUGUGCUCGGAUUACAGGCAUGACCAUGCUCAGCCUUAAUUUUUGUAUUGAGAUGUGUAUGAUACAUGUAAAUAACACAAAUUCUAAGUCUCCACUUUGAUAAGUUUCAGGUAUGUAUACACCAUCCAGAUCAAGAUACAGAGCAUCUCCAUUCGUAAGGCUCCUUCAUGCUCCUUUCCAGCCAACCGUUCUUACUGUUCCGCUGACUCACCAUCAGUUCGUUUUGCUUGUUCUUUACUCAUAAACAGAAUCAUAUAGUAGGUGCUUUGUUCAGUGGAGGCAAUCUGUUUUUGCUUUAAUCAUUACAUGAGUAUACGUCCAUAUUGUGUGAGGGAGUAGUUCUUUUGCAUUGCUGUGUAGUAUUCCAUUGUAUAAUUGUAUGAAUAUAUGUUGUAUAAAUGUAAAUAUGGUGCGAUUUAUUCCAACAGGACAUCUGGCUUAUUUCUAGUUAUUAGCUAGCAUAAGUAAAGCUUCUGUGAGUGCUCUUGUGUGUAUUUUGGUGAACACAUGCAUUUCUUUUUUUUGAUUGUAUAUACCUAGGAGUAGAGUUGCAUAGAAUAGACAUGUGGUUAACACUAGUACCUUGGUUUUUAAUGUAUGGCUCUUGGACCAGCAGUAUCAGCAUCGCCUGGCAAUUCAUUAGAAGUGCAAAUUCUUAUUAAAAGUUCUUAUGGACCAGGCGUGGUGGCUCAUGCCUGUAAUCCCAGCACUUUGGGAGGCCAAGGUGGGUGGAUCAUCUGAGAUCAGGAGUUUGAGACCAGCCUGGCCAACAUAGUAAAACCCCGUCUCUAUUAAAAAUACACAAAAUUAGUUGGGUGUGGAGGCAGGUGGCUGUAAUCCCACCUACUUGGGAGGCUGAGGCUGAGGCUGGAGAAUCACUUGAACCCAGGAGGCAGAGGUUGCGGUGAGCCAAGAUCACACCAUUGCACUACAGCCUUGGUAAGAGAACGAGACUCAAUCUAAAAAAAAAAAAAAAGUCCUUAUGACUCAUGUAGUCCAGGACUAAUUACCCUUCCGUUUCACAGUGUCCAUAAGAAAGCAGACCUGGCGGGGCAUGGUGGCUCACGCCUGUAAUCCUACCACUUUAGGAGGCUGACGUGGGAGGAUCACUUGAGACCAAGAGUUUGCGACCAGCAGUUCAAGACCAGCCUAGGCAACAAAAAGAGACCCUGUUUCUUUUCUUUUUUUUUUUUUUUUUUUUGAGAUGGAGUUUCACUCUUGUUACCCAGGCUAGACUGCAAUGGCGUGAUCUCGGCUCACUGCAACCUCCGCCUCCUGGGUUCAGGCAAUUCUCCUGCCUCAGCCUCCCGAGUAGCUGGGCUUACAGGCAUGCGCCACCCUGCCCAGCUAAUUUUUUGUAUUUUUAGUAGAGACGGGGUUUCACCAUGUUGACCAGGAUGGUCUCGAUCUGUUGACCUCGUGAUCCACCCGCCUUGGCCUCCCAAAGUGCUGGGAUUAAGGCAUGAGCCACUGCGCCCAGCCCGAGACCCUGUUUCUUAAAAAGAAAACUGAGACCCAAGUAAAUCCAAAUGAUUGAUCAUAGAGACACACCAGUUACAGGCAGAAGCGGGGCCUCAGGACACAGGUCUUCCACAUUUUAGUCCAGUGCUAUAGAACAGUGGUCCUCAACGGUGUGGUCUCCAGAUGAGCUGCAGCAUCAACAUGUUAGAAAUGCAAAUACUUAUGUAUUUAUUUCUUUAUUUGAGACUGACUCUCACUCUGUCACCCAGGCUGGAGUGCAGUGGCACAAUCUCAGCUCACUCCAAUGUCUGCCUCCCAGGUUCGAGUGAUUCUCCUGCCUCAGCCUCCCAAUUAGCUGGGAUUACAGGCAUGUGCCAUCACACCCAGCUCAUUUUUAUAUUUUUAGUAGAGAUAGGGUUUCACCAUGUUGGUCAGGCUGGUUGCAAACUCCUGGCCUCAAAUGAUCCACUCACCUCAUCCUCACAAAGUGCUGGGAUUAGAAGCGCGAGCCACCAUGCCUGCCCCUAGAAAAUUCUCAGGACCCACCACAGACCCAGAAUCAGAAACCCUGGGUGUGGGAAGGAUGGUCAGCAUAACAAUCAGCUGUGUUAAGAAGAAAUGUUCUUUUUAAACUGUGAGAUGACCUCACGAAGAUGAACAGGUCAAUGUAAAUUUUUAAAUUGGUAAUGAGAAGUGAGGCUAAAACGUUGAUGGUGAAUGUGAGUGUAUUUCUCCUGGAUUCUCCCAAGGGCUACUUUAACAGCCAUUUGGGAUUUAGGUCACUUGGUAUUAUGUGAGUUAAAAUGUAUACAUUUUAUAUGAAGUUAUCCACUUAGGAGUAAAGGGGAAGUAUCACAUAUGCUGUUUGACGUUUUUCGUUCAAGACAAAAAAUGGACAUUAGUAGUGACUGGAAAUCAUGGCGCGGUGGCUCAAGCCUGUAAUCCCAGCACUUUGGGAGGCCGAGGCGGGUGGAUCACGAGGUCAAGAGAUCGAGACCAUCCUAGUCAACAUGGUGAAACCCCGUCUCUACUAAAAAUACAAAAAAUUAGCUGGGCAUGGUGGUGCGUGCCUGUAAUCCCAGCUACUCAGGAGGCUGAGGCAGGAGAAUUGCCUGAUCCCAGGAGGCGGAGGUUGCGGUGAGCCGAGAUCGCGCCAUUGCACUCCAACCUGGGUAACAAGAGCGAAACUCCCUCUCAAAAAAAGAAAAAACUGCAAUGAGUGAGUUUUCAGUCUACUGGAAAGACAAGUCAACAGAUGGUUAAAAUAUAAAGUAAUUACCGUAAUGGAGUUGUAUAUAAAAGAGCGUGACAGAAUAGAAUCUGACUGAGGGAGUUAAAAGCUUUACAGAGGAGGUUGCAAUUCAGUAUGGAGAGAACAUGUGUGAAUUUUGAGAAUCGUUCAAGGCCCAGUAUGUGUGGCGGUUAAGAGCCCAGGCUCUGGAGUCAGAGACUCUUGGGUCAAAAUUCUGGUUUCGUGGUAACUGUGUAGCUUCAGUAAGCUUCAUGUUACCACUCCAGAGCAGAUUUCUCAUCUGUCCAAUGGGAACAAAUAGGACCUACCUGAAAGGGUUAUUAUGGAGAUAAGUGAGGUACCCUGUAUUACAUGCUUAGUACAGUGCUGGGCACAUGGUAAAGACUACCUAACUGUUCUAUUUGGGAAGAAUACAAGUUGUUCAGUAGUAUUAGAACAUAAAAUGUGAGGAGGAAAGUGCGAGGAGAUAAGGGCUAAACAAAUGGAGAGAGGCCAGGCCUUCAAAGGCAUUAAAUCUCAGCAGACUGUUUUCGGUAUUAUCAUGUGAUCACGGAGGUCUGUGAAGAAUUUGGGGGAAGGAAAUGAAAUUUUCUGAAUUACAAAACCUACUUUAAAAGCAGAGUAGAUAAUGAAUUGGAUGAGGCACGAGAGAUAGUGGAUAGCAGGAAGAUUAUGGUGCAGAGCAGGUCAAAGAUGAAUAUCAUCAUGUAGGGCAGUGAUUGAGGGCAUGGAGGGGAGUUGUUUCAUGUAAAAUGCGCUGGAUUUGGUGAUUAUUGGAAGAUAAGGGAUGACUCCCGAGUUUCUGGCUGGGGGUACGCAGUAGGAAUUGGUGCCAUUCACUUAUAUAGCACCCAGGAUGAUAGCACUUUGCAGACUGCGUUCAGCAUGGGGGAAUAGAUUUGAAGAGAGGAAGUAAUGUUAGAUUUUGAAUAUUUGUACAUGAAUUGCCUCUGGGACAUUUCGGGUGAAGUCUAGAGAAAACCAUGCAGUUGUUGCUCAUAAGCUCUGUCUAGGCACCCAAGAUAGACUUGAGUCAUCAGCAUGAUUCAAGAUGUGUGUGGGCCAGGUACAGUGGUGCACACCUGUCAUCCCAGCACUUUGGGAGACUGAGGCUGGUGGAUCAUCUGAGGUCAGGAGUUCGAGACCAGCCUGACCAACAUGGUGAAAUUCCAUCUCUACUAAAUAUAAAAAAUUAGCCGGAUGUGGUGGCACAUGUCUGUAAUCCCAGCUACUUGGGAGGCUGAGGCCGGAGAAUCGCUUCAACCUGGGAGGUGGAGGUUGUGGUGAGCCAAGAUGGCACCACUGCACUCCAGCCUGGGCAACAAGAGGGAAAUUUUGUCUUAAAAAAAAAAACACAAGAUGUGGCCGGGUGCGGUGGCUCACGCCUGUAAUCCCACCACUUUGAGAGGCUGAGGUGGGUGGAUCACGAGGUCAAGAGAUCAAGACCAUCCUGGUCAACAAGGUGAAACCCCGUCUCUACUAAAAAUACAAAAAUUAGCUGGGCAUGGUGGUGCGCACCUGUAGUCCCAGCUACUUGGGAGGCUGAGGCAGGAGAAUUGCUUGAACCCAGGAGGCGGAGGUUGCGGUGAGCCAAGAUCGUGCCAUUGCACCCCAGUCUGAGUAACAAGAGCAAAAAUCCAUCUCAAAAAAAAAAAAAAAUAAUACAAGAUGUAUGUGAAGCCCCUGACACCACUUAGAGUCAAAGAAUGUUUCUAAAAGGGGAGGAAGUCUAAGUACUGAACCCAUGGAAAACAUUAUUAUUAUUUUUUGAGAUGGAGUUUUGCUCUUGUUACCCAGGAUAGAGUGCAGUGGCAUGAUCUCGACUCACUGCAACCUCCACCUCCCGGGUUCAAGCGAUUCUCCUGCCUCAGCCUCCCGAGUAGCUGUGAUUACAGGCAUUGACUACCAUGCCCUGCUAAUUUUUGUAUUUUUAGUAGAGACAGAGUUUUGCCAUGUUGGCCAGGCUAGUCUCAAACUCCUGGCCUCAGGUGAUCCACCUGCCUUGGCCUCCCAAAGUGCUGGGAUUACAGGCGUGAGCCACUGCACCGGGCCAGGAAAACAUUAGUUUUUAAGAGGCAACAGAAUGGUAAGCUGAAAGGCCUGGUUUUUAUUGUCAGGGACCACAGAGAGAUCAAGUCAGACAGGAUCAGUCGGAUUUGAUAAGGCAUUACUAGUGGCUUUAAGAUUAAGACUAGAGAGGCACAUGUUUUUAUAUUUUGUGGCAAAGGAGAUGCAGUCGAAGUAGCACAUGUCUGUAAUAUGUAGAGAUAUGGAAAAUAUAAUAAGUAGAGAUAUGGAAAAGGCUGAAAAAAGUCUGCGAGGAGAGAAAUCAGUACUUUUGAUUGAUGCUUACUAGACGCCAGGUAUGUAUCUAAGUAAGCCCAAAACCCUGGCGUGAUCUUCAGCUUCUCUUAUCCCACGUUCAACCCAUUAGCAAGUCUUGCUGGUUCUAAUAUAUUCCAGCUCAUGGUAUUUCUCUUCCUCACCUCUGUGGCUAACAUCCUUUUCUAGCCUAGACUUAAUGUAGUAGUUUCCUAAGAAGUCUCUGUUUCCAGCCCUGAUUUGUUAUAAUGUAUUCACCAUGCAGCAACCAGAACGACCUUUUAAAUAAGUAGAUUGGACCAUAUCUCCCUCCUACUAACCAUGAACUUCCCAUGGCUUUCCGUUACACCCUAGGUCCAAAUUCCUUAUAACAGCCUGCAGGGUACACAGGGAGGCCCUUGGAGUCGCAUCUUACAGCUUCUUUGCUCACUUAGUUGGAGUCCCACUUUCUUUCUGUUGGUUGAAGUGACCCCAUGUGAGUUGAGGGGGCAUCUGUAUUCAUUGCUUUGUCAGAGUAUGCUACUAGGUUAAAGCAAAGUCAGUGACACAUGUGGCUAUUGAAAUAAUUGUCCUGUUUAAGAAAAGUACCAAAUCCCUAGAGUUUGUAGGCAGUUGGCAGAAAAUAAAAGUGCUCCUGGACUUGGCCUCGAUUUCCCUAAUUGUGUAAUCUCUUACAUCAUUAUUUUUCCAGCUACCACACCUAUAGGUUGUGACUGUACCGACUGAAAAAGUUUUAAUCUCUCUAAUGUUAACUCCCGAUCAGUUGAUGUAGCUAUCUAUUACAUUGUAUUUGGGCUUUGAACAGAAUGUUUAAUUGCAUUUUACUAGCGUCGUGUGCUGUUGAUAGAGGAUAAGGAAGGGCCAGGUAAGCUUGAUGGCGUACGUAUCGAUUGUCUUAACCUCCCUGUGCUCUAGAUUUAGCUUUUAGUCUUUAUUUAUAGGACAGCUUCACAUUUUCUAGGAAUCUCAAAUCUAUAUGGUAUUUGAAUCUUCUCCAAAUUAGGAGGAAAUAAUCUGUAAUGGUGAAUGUUUAUCAGUUAAACUCUUCGGAAUAUGUGAGGUGGUAAUAAUUGCCACUUACUGAGUUCUGUAGUCCAGGAGCGAAAUGCUUUACAGUACAGAGAUACUACGUUAGAGUUUCUGCUUUUGGGAAGAGGGGCAGGAGAAGGGAAGAUCCUCUUAGGAAAAGCUCCAAGGUUAUAUCCCUGUUAUCUUUCCUCCAAAUAGUUUCUGAUAAUAAGUUAUUUGUUUAAAAAUUAUGUUUUAAUUAGAAUUUGAUGGUUUUUUAAAAGCUUUUACUGGCCCUCAACAUGUUUGUUUUUAUAGGAGCUGACUAAGGCUUUGGAGCAGAAACCAGACGACGCACAGUAUUAUUGUCAGAGAGCUUAGUGCUUGCCACAUUCUUCUUGGAAAUUACCGUGCUAGUUUUUCUUACAAAGUAUAUUGUCCCUUUUUAAUAAGCUACUUCUACAUUUUACUCAUGAUAAAUUAAUCAAAUAAAGGUUGUCUUCGGGGAUUUUUAAAUUGGCCUUUCAGGUAAGGUAAAGUAGCUCAAAGUGUGACAUAUAUGUUGAGCUAUUUAACAUAUAUCUAUUAAAUGUUAAAUAAAUAGAGCAUAUCUAUUUAAAUGUUAUGGAUGUCUCUUUUUCCUUUAUUUAAUGGCACCAAUUCCUACGACAUUCACCCAUGUACAUUACCUAUUUAAAUGUUAUGGAUGUCUCUCUUUUUCCUUCAUUAUAUAGAUUUCAUUCAUACUUAUUGGGUAGGAUGAUAAAGAAUGGUGUCAUAUUUACUAUUUGACAGAGUAUUAAAAUGAAAUGCUCUUGUUUGUAUUUUUUUAUUAAAAAGAAUGUGGCCAGGCAUGGUGGCUCACACCUGCAAUCCCAGCACUUUGGGAGGCCAAAGCAGGAGGAUCACAUGAGCUCAGGAGUUUGAGUCCAGCCUGGACAACAUAGCAAGACCCUAUUAAUCUAUAUUAAGAAAUACUGUAUUUCUGUAUUGUGUCACUGUAAAAAAUUAUUCUGAUAAAGUAUCUAGAGAGGGAAAAACUGAAUAUCUUUUUUUUUUUUUUAGACAGAAUUUUGCUCUUGUUGCCUAGGCUGGAGAGCAGUGGCACAAUCUCAGCUCACUGCAGCCUCUGCCUCCCAGGUUCAAGCAAUUCUCCUGCCUCAGCCUCCUGGUAGCUGGGACUAUAGGCACGUGCCAUGAUGCCCGGCUAAAUUUGUAUUUUUAGCAGAGAUGGGGAUUCACCAUAUUGGCCAGGCUGGUCUCAAACUCCUGACCAUAGGUGAUCCUCUCACCUCAGACUCCCAAAGUACUAGGAUUAUAGGCAUGAGCCACUGCACCCAAUCAAAUUACAUAGAUGAUGCUAAUGAGAAAAAGAGAUGAAUUUUGUGACACAGCUUUGUUCAUUGCCUGAAGAGCUUUAAGAAGGAAGCUAAAUGUUAAGCCAAAAGGAAGGUACAAGGGUAAUAUUUCUUUGAAUUCUGUCUUGGAUUGGCUUUUCCUAAUUAAAAACCAUUUGGUGUUUCUACCAACUCAAAAAGUUAGAAAUCUAAAACUGAUUCGUAUUCUGUGUGUAUUUGUUAGGAUCUGUAAAUAACUGAUGAAAACCCAUCUUUAAUCCCAGCACUUUGAGAGGUCAAGUCAGGCAGAUCACAAGGUCAGGAGAUCGAGAGCAUCCUGGACAAUAUGGUGAAACCCCGUACCUACUACAAAAAUACAAAAAUUAGCUGGGUGUGGUCGCACACGCCUGUAGUCCCACUUAGGAGGCUGAGGCAGGAGAAUUGCUUGAACCUGGGAGGUAGAGGUUGUAGUGACCUGAGAUUAUGCCACUGCACUGCAGCCUGGCCACAGAACAGGACUCUGUCUCAAAAAAGAAAGAAAUUACAAAGGAGUCUAAAAUGAAUUCAAUUCAAUAGGCAAAAUGAAGCCACUUUUCUUUAGUUGAAAGGUAUGGAGAAUUGGCUUGAUUUCUAUUGCACAAACAUAUUAAUCAGUAUGUUUGUGCAAUAGAAAUCGUAUACAUAAGGCCAGGCGCAGUGUCUCAUGCCUGUAAUCCCAGCACUUUGGGAGGCCGAUGCAGGAGGAUCACCUGAGGUCAGGAGUUUGAGACCAGCCUGGCCAACUUGGUGAAACCCCGUCACUACUAAAAAUACAAAAUUAGCUGGGCAUUGUGAUGCAUGCUGGUAAUCCCAGCUACUCAGGAGGCUGAGGCAGGAGAAUCACUUGAACUGAGGAGGCAGAGGUUGCAGUGAGCCGAGAUCGUGCCACUGCACUCCAGCCUGGGCAACAGAGGGAGACUCUGCCUCAAAAAAAAAAAAAAAAAAAGAAA